AGCAGCCGCGGUAAUUCCAGCUCCAAUAGCGUAUAUUAAAGUUGUUGCAGUUAAAAGCUCGUAGUUGAAUUUCGGGGUUAGCAGGUCGGUCGUGCCAUCGGUAUGAACUGGUCUCGCUGAUCCCUCCCUCUUGACGAACUGUGAUGCCAUUAAUUUGGUGUCGCAGGGAAUCAGGACUGUUACUUUGAAAAAUUGAGUGUUUAAAGCAGGCUCACGCUUGAAUACAUUAGCAUGGAAUAAUGAAAUAGGACGUUUGAUCCUAUUUUGUUGGUUUCUAGGAUUGACGUAAUGAUUAAUAGGGAUAGUUGGGGGCAUUAGUAUUCAAUUGUCAGAGGUGAAAUUCUUGGAUUUAUUGAAGACUAACUACUGCGAAAGCAUUUGCCAAGGAUGUUUUCAUUAAUCA
RNAcentral lists this unclassified non-coding RNA (403 nucleotides) under uncultured Glomus. RNAcentral's name for it is "SSU rRNA". It matches the Rfam family "Eukaryotic small subunit ribosomal RNA", at positions 569 to 979 of the family's 1831-position model. Lineage: Eukaryota; Fungi; Glomeromycota; Glomeromycetes; Glomerales; Glomeraceae. The record is from RNAcentral.